Molecule: small RNA, 36 nt
Filed under: Arabidopsis thaliana (thale cress)
Lineage: Eukaryota; Viridiplantae; Streptophyta; Magnoliopsida; Brassicales; Brassicaceae
Description: ATSL073810
Source: RNAcentral
AAGAUUGGCAAGUCGGGCAAGCAGAACCUAAUGGAU